Non-coding RNA from Lactuca sativa (garden lettuce), 1837 nucleotides. NCBI's taxonomy places the organism in Eukaryota, Viridiplantae, Streptophyta, Magnoliopsida, Asterales, Asteraceae. The record is from RefSeq and is a predicted model, not a curated record.
AUUGGUUUGGUCAAUAUUUGAAAAAGUCAAAAUAAUAAUCACGAUGAUUUAUUGACCAAGUUGCAUAUAUAUAUACUUACCUUUCCUAUAUGUUUGGUGAUCUUCCCGUCGUUUGACCCAGUUCCUUGAAAACCCCAGUAUUUCGGUGAUUUUCUUUUCAGUUCAAUAUUGAUUUUUGAAUUGGUAACCAUCUCUCCCAUCUCGCCUCCUUCCCUUAUAUGUAGCAUCUCACCGCCAUUUUUCUUCCCAUUCUCCAUAAACCCUAGCCACACUCCACCACCGCCACAACUCAAUUAUGUGCCUUAACAUCUAAAGAGCCGCCAAGGUCAGCUCUCUCUGUGUGUGUGUGUGUGUGCAUCCUCUAUUUCCAUCAUAAUACAAUGGUUAAAAACAAAAAACAAAAACCCAGAAUGAUACACAUAUUUUAAAUUAAUUGAAGAAUGAGAAUGUCAAGGUGUUUUGUGUUACGUGUUUGUGUGCGAGGUUAUCCAUGUAAGCCGAGAAUCUGCUUUUUCGUCCUUCUCCAUCCUGCUCUGCAACAGCUCUCUACCUUUUCUUCUUUGUGCAUUCUGUUUACUCGGAUUCACCAAGGAAGAUGAGUGGGGAUGUUUUUUAUGAUUUUGAUUAAACUAAAGUAGAGUUAUAUUACUUUGGAGCCCCUUUAUCACUCAGGUAAUAUAACAAAAGAAUGGGUUUGCUACAUACAAACGACAUUCUAACAUACUAUCACAUUCAAGUGGAUAAUAUGAUCCAUUAUCUUAAGGUAUGUUCCAUUUUAUUACUAAUGUGAUAUGUGAUAUUUAGUCGAAAUUACAUAAAUAAUUUGAUGGUUUCUUAAAAAACUAAAUGUUGGAAAUUCUAUGAUUUUUUGAAAAUUUUAGAUUUUUUCUACUGUUCUAACACUUUUAGCGAUUCUUUAUUUUCUAUUAAAUUGAUUCAUCAUCCAUAACCUGUCAUUUGUCUAUGGAGAUACAAAUCAGCUAUGGGUUUUUUUGUUGAUUCAAGCUGAGAUAAUAAUGGGCAAUUGCAAAUCUUUUGUACCUUCAACAAAGUAAGAGAUUGGUUCAUGAUUUGAUUAAAUUUAUUUUCAAUCAUUUGAAUAUUGAUUUAUUUAAAUCCCUGGUUCAUGAUUUUUUUUUUCAGUUUGCUUAAUUUCAUUUUAAGAUAUAGAUUAUGUAAUUUUUAGGUUUCCAAUUAUAAAAAGUCUUUUGAAAACUGGGUAAUAACCAAAGAAAUUCUUUUGUAUCAAUUUGGUUAUGUGUCUUCCAAGCUAGAUGAGUGCAUCAAAGGUUUUAAUGACAUAAAUUUGGAAUAAGUUUUCCCCACGAAGACCGAGAAGUAUAAGAGGACUUGAAUUGAGGUUUUAAUGGGCUCAAACUGGUAAAGACUUGAACAAAGAUUUAUACUUGAAGAUGAAGUUAUGAAUGGAGUAUCAAGCAACAAUAGGUCCCGAAAUGGACUAAAAUUCUAGAAGGGAAAAAAUGAAGUUAUGUAUACAAAGCAUGUCAAGAUAUUUCUAUCGUUGUAUAGGUGUUAAAUGUCAUAGGAAAGGAAAUGGUCUUGGUGGAAGAUGAGAAGGUGUUAAAGAGAAGACACAUUCAUCGCAAACACAAAAGGAAAUGGUCUUGGAUAUUUGGAAUUGAUCAAAUUGUUGGUAUAAAGGACAGGAAAGCAACAAACUUCGAACAUGAUCUGUGAUAAUUGGAAUUAAGAUACUUUCAACAAAAUAAAAUUCUCUUUUGUUGACUUUAAUUGUAUUAAAGUUCAUAAUUGAAUAAAGUUUUAAAUAUGUUGGUUGUAUUGAUUUAAUGGUUAAAAUUUUCAAUUUUUUAGGAAA